AGAGAGGAAUUAUGAGCCAACAUCCCCAGCAGGAGGUGCAUUUAAUGAAAUCACUUGUGAUUUAUGUCUGGGGGAGGUUGGAGAAGGAAGAAUCUGGAACCCAGACAUCCUGCUUCUAGAAAGGUGGCCGUCAGCCAAUGAAAACUUAGGAUGCGCUCACCACCAGCAGCCAAUCCCAGUGAAGGAUGAGCCGAACUGCCAGGCCUAAUUGCAUCUUGAUUGGUUGUGAUGUUGCUAGGCAGAAAUGAGGUCCCGGAGAUCGCUGCGGGCAAGACCGGAGAGACAGGUGGAUAUGAGAAUAUCUGGAAACAUAGACUCUUGGAUUGUCAUUUUUCUUCCUGAGCUCCUUCAUUCUUAAAGGAUUAAUGGGGUCAGGGGAAUCACUCUUCCUUUUCUCCUCCACAGUGGGACAGAGCCAAAUAGUUACCGUUUCCCCAAAACGCCUUCAGAGAAAUCUGGCUGCCUCGAAGGUGUUCUAAUCCAAAAAAAAAAAAAUAUCCCCCGGAGGUAUUCCAGCCUCAUACUCAGUCUCCCCAUUUAGGAAGUCCUUUCUGAGGCCUCCCUUCAAGCCUCCUGGCUGUAGUUUAUGAACCAUUUUCUCUAACAU
Long non-coding RNA from Bos taurus (domestic cattle), 607 nucleotides. NCBI's taxonomy places the organism in Eukaryota, Metazoa, Chordata, Mammalia, Artiodactyla, Bovidae. The record is from Ensembl.